Molecule: long non-coding RNA, 2085 nt
Organism: Armigeres subalbatus
Lineage: Eukaryota; Metazoa; Arthropoda; Insecta; Diptera; Culicidae
Exons: 5
Source: RefSeq, a predicted model, not a curated record
AUGAAUAAAAAUCAUAAGGCAAUCUUAUGUUAUUUCGUGUGUUCAUUCCUGAUGGUUCAUUCCCAGGAAAAUGUCAACUCUGUUUGUUUUGUUUUUACAACACGGUCGACCACAUUUUUUAUUAUUUAGCCGAUUCAGCUUUUCACAAAUAAUAAAUGCAAUAUUCCGGUUCUGGACGAUUUUCCGUUAUCAGAUACAGCAGAUCCAACGGAUGUGGCAACGGCCCAAGGUUAGAGGCCACAGAUGAUAGCUGCUAUAUUGUAUACACCGAUAGCUGCAAAACGUAAGCUCACUAGACACCAAGUUAGUCCAUAAACUCCAGCGUAUUCGUUAUCCAGUCACACUCAAGGUCACACUAGAAUUUCUCUGAAGAAUUUCGUUAGCAUGUGUAUGAGCAAGUGUAUGAGUUUCCUGAAACGGGCAUGUGUCCCCUAAAAUGUAAUUCUAGUUGCAAGCAGCAAAGGGCAGUACGUUUAUUUUGCUGGUGGCGUUUCUUGUAAGACGGAUGAUAGAAGCAAGAUUUUUUCACAAGGUUGAAUCACAAGGUGAAUCAGACAUCGAUCCAGAAAUGAAGAAGAGCAUUGUAGGAGCAUUUUUCCCUGAAAAAAUAAAUCGCGCACGGCCGGAGAAAAUUAUUUCAAGAUCCACUUAGAUCAGUCGAAAUUUCAUCAACAUCAAAUAAGUGAUCAUUUCGGCAUAGUAAGAUACAAGUUUAUUUCGGCCGGAUAUGGCAAUCUAGAUUCGCUAUAUAUAAUCUGCUAUUCAAUCAAACUGAACGGAAAUCAAUUGAUUGGGGCGUGCGCAAACCGAUCAAAGAAGAAAUGGAUUCGGAAAGUAAGGAAACAAGAGUGUCCAGUACUUUGAGCGGAUGUUUUGAUAUCUUGUCUCAGCUUUUGCUGCUAGCCAGCUGGGAGAUGCAAAGCGGGAAAGUCGUUUUUAAAUAUAAUGGUGAAAUAUCGAUCUAUUUCACUUCGGAGAAUGAGAAAUCGCAUCUUGCUUGAUAGCACCCCUGUUUUGGAAAGUGCUUUUUUACUGGUGCCAUCAUAGCUGCGGUGCUGUUGAAAGUUGAAAGUCAAUCUCACCUGAACGGGCCAGUAUGAAUCUUUAUCAUCGUAUUUGCGAAGAAAACCGGGUCUAGUUACCAUAUCGAAAGGUUCCGAUGCAGGCAUGGUGCAAUCUCAAUUCAGCAACAAAACCGUACUAUGGAGACUGAAUUGUACACUGAACGACUGAGUCAGCGUUGCAAAAUCCCACGCAUCUCGACUACUGAACAUAAACGACAACAGCUAGCUGUUUAUAUAUAAGAAAAAACAUCGUGCAGCUAUGAAGCGAAAGAUGACCCGGGAUGCCUGUCGAGUAAAAUUGACGUUGAAACUGUGUUCGGAACUGGAAUUGACUUCUAACCAUUUCGAUCGUUAUCUGCAGUUACCAUGGAAAUAGCAUUGAUGUUUCUUAUAUUAGUAUAGUAUUGUGAAUUGCGCCGAAAAUUUUGUUGAGUGACUGCGAUAUCAGUACCGAUGUGAUGGACUUCAUCGGGUGUCUCUUUUCGGCUAAAGCAGUUGCAAACUGUCUGAACAUGACCACCUAGAAGGUAACCGACGAACGUCCUUGAUAUAUACGAGAUGAUGCUAUGAGCCGUUCUGCCGUGCGAUACGGAGGGAAGUUUAGUAAUAAGAUUUAUCAAGCUUAUCGUAGCAAGCACAUUAGUAUACGACCAGCAUGCUGAUUAAAGCGGAGUUUGAGUGAUUCAUGCAGCAAUUUUCUGAAUAGAUCCAGGCUGCAGUAAAUUGCAGAUAAACAUACUACGGUCAUAUCGUUGCUUAUAACUUCGACACCGUUGCCUCGAAUGUUGCCGACCGUUAGCACUAUCACCAUCAGUCGCUUCGCGAUGAGCGCCACAGUUCAGCCAGCUUUAUUAUCAGCACCGAGUGCUGCUUCAGCAUGUUAAAACUGUAUCCGCAUUGAAGUGGCCAACGACCAUCUUUUUAGCAGGCCUAUGUUUUCAUGUCCGAAAUAGUAAAUAAUCGUACAACAUAUUUAAUUUAUCAAAAAUCAAAUUGUAUUAGGACCAGGAUUAGGACCUCA